This is a long non-coding RNA of Mercenaria mercenaria, 1045 nucleotides long. RefSeq lists it as uncharacterized. The record is from RefSeq and is a predicted model, not a curated record. NCBI's taxonomy places the organism in Eukaryota, Metazoa, Mollusca, Bivalvia, Venerida, Veneridae. The transcript is spliced from 3 exons.
AAUUGUAAAGUCUGUUUGAAAGGAGUGUAAUAAAUUUUGUCCCAGAUUUUCUCCAACCAGCUGUGUGGAUAUCAGUAUAAAUAAGAGCAGCCUGGAUGAUUACACAAACGUCUGGAGUUUUAUUGCGGAAAAUAUUACGUACUAUACGAAAAUACAGAUAUGGAUAAAAAAGAGGCAAGAGAGCAGUUGGGAAAAAACCAACACUUUCAUCCUGAAACGAACCCCCAGCUAGCGGCGGGGACCCCUCCAAAGCAACAGCACUGGUGGAACAAUUUACAUAUGAAACCAUCGCUUCCAAUGCAGAUACAGCGACAAGGGUCAGCGGAUUCGUCAUCUCAAACGAGCAGUUCACCGCUGAGUUCUUCCCCUUUGUCUGAACAGUUCACAAAGAAACUUUCAAGGUCUUACUCGUCUGACGAGCACAAGGACAGUAUUUUAACGUAGACCUCAGUUGUUGACACAAUAUCUAGUCGGAUAAACCUCAUUUUUCAUCACAUAGCUCGUCCACCAUGUUUUUGUUUUUAUUUUAGACUGCGCCAUCGAAUUCUAGUGCUAGUUCUACAUCUGGAACAACCCAACAAACCGCUCAGACUCCUCAAACUACGGAAGCACAGCCAAUUAAGAGAAUCGAUUCGAAAAGUGUAUAUAUGGGAAUAGACUUUUCAGAUUAGGAAACCUAGGACUUAGUUUUAUAUAUUUAUGAAAAUGAUCCAGAAAUCGAAGUGGAAAUAUGUGCUCAUUGAAAACGGGUUUGUUAUUUGGUGCAUAGCAGUUAAAAGUGCAUUAAUUGAUAUAACUAGAUAUAGAAUUUACUACUAGCCAUUCAUCCAUAUGAGAAAUCAAAUAUAUGUGAAUUUCAAGUUGUAAGCUUGUGUGAACUGUGUACGUGUUUGGUUUGUUUGCUGUUAAAAACUAUUUUAGGGUUACCUGAAAGGAGCCUCAAAAUGAGAAGAAAAACAAACUAUUUGUGAUAACAUGUAGAUUUUGUCAUAUUUAAUAUGAACAUUUUUGUUAUAUCAAUAAAAUGUAAAAGAAAGAAAUACAA